This is a non-coding RNA of Pelobates cultripes (western spadefoot toad), 236 nucleotides long. Lineage: Eukaryota; Metazoa; Chordata; Amphibia; Anura; Pelobatidae. The record is from the annotation of a GenBank genome assembly.
GGCUCUACCACAUUCUGAAACGAGUCAACACGCACCAACAGUAGAGAUAACAUACUAUCCUACACACAACAAAUGGUGUCCAGUUGCGGUCCUAGAUUCCUACCUUCAAAAAUCCUUCAAGGAAUUAAAUACCAUAAUGCAUUUAAGGAAAUGUCUGGUUAAUUUGUAUAUAUUGUUGACUGUAUUAAAUCUUUGAUUAUUCUUUUUGCCCUCUUUAUUUACAGGCCUACCGUAUC